UGUGCUUGCUUCUGAUUUAUGCCAUCAAGU
This 30-nucleotide non-coding RNA is filed under the name Homo sapiens (human). The record is from RNAcentral. Lineage: Eukaryota; Metazoa; Chordata; Mammalia; Primates; Hominidae.